AGUGAACGCUGGCGGUAGGCCUAACACAUGCAAGUCGAACGGCAGCACAGUAAGAGCUUGCUCUUACGGGUGGCGAGUGGCGGACGGGUGAGGAAUACAUCGGAAUCUACUUUUUCGUGGGGGAUAACGUAGGGAAACUUACGCUAAUACCGCAUACGACCUACGGGAGAAAGCAGGGGAUCUUCGGACCUUUCGCGAUUGAAUGAGCCGAGGUCGGAUUAGCUAGUUGGCGGGGUAAAGGCCCACCAAGGCGACGAUCCGUAGCUGGUCUGAGAGGAUGAUCAGCCACACUGGAACUGAGACACGGUCCAGACUCCUACGGGAGGCAGCAGUGGGGAAUAUUGGACAAUGGGCGCAAGCCUGAUCCAGCCAUACCGCGUGGGUGAAGAAGGCCUUCGGGUUGUAAAGCCCUUUUGUUGGGAAAGAAAAGCAGCAGGUUAAUACCCCGCUGUUCUGACGGUACCCAAAGAAUAAGCACCGGCUAACUUCGUG
This 492-nucleotide ribosomal RNA is filed under the name uncultured bacterium. RNAcentral's name for it is "partial 16S ribosomal RNA". It matches the Rfam family "Bacterial small subunit ribosomal RNA", at positions 29 to 507 of the family's 1533-position model. The record is from RNAcentral.